This 473-nucleotide ribosomal RNA is filed under the name uncultured bacterium. RNAcentral describes it as "bacterial SSU rRNA". It matches the Rfam family "Bacterial small subunit ribosomal RNA", at positions 28 to 496 of the family's 1533-position model. The record is from RNAcentral.
GAUGAACGCUAGCGGCAGGCUUAACGCAUGCAAGUCGAGGGGCAUCACGGGUAGCAAUACCUGGUGGCGACCGGCGCAAGGGUGCGUAACGCGUGAGCAACAUGCCCUAUACAGGGGGAUAAUCCAGGGAAACUUGGUCUAAUAUCCCAUAGCAUUUAGAGGUGGCAUCACCAUUAAAUUAAAGCUUCGGUGGUAUAGGAUUGGCUCGCGUGACAUUAGCUAGAUGGUGGGGUAACGGCUCACCAUGGCUAUGAUGUCUAGGGGUUCUGAGAGGAAGACCCCCCACACUGGGACUGAGACACGGCCCAGACUCCUACGGGAGGCAGCAGUGAGGAAUAUUGGACAAUGGAUGGAAAUCUGAUCCAGCCAUGCCGCGUGCAGGAAGACGGCCCUAUGGGUUGUAAACUGCUUUUAUAUGGGAGCAAUAAGGUCUACGAGUAGACCGAUGAGAGUACCAUAUGAAUAAGCAUCGG